CGGGGACAGACGGAAACCUAGUGAAGUCUGUCCGAGUGGCGGACGGGUGAGUAACGCGUGGAUAACCUGCCGCAUGCAGGGGGAUACCGGCUGGAAACAGCCGCUAAUACCGCAUAAGCGCACGGUGCCGCAUGGCAGAGUGCGAAAAGGAGAAAUCCGGCAAGCGAUGGAUCCGCGUCCGAUUAGCCAGUUGGCGGGGUAAUGGCCCACCAAAGCGACGAUCGGUAGCCGGCCUGAGAGGGCGGACGGCCACAUUGGGACUGAGACACGGCCCAGACUCCUACGGGAGGCAGCAGUGGGGGAUAUUGCACAAUGGGGGAAACCCUGAUGCAGCGACGCCGCGUGGGUGAAGAAGUAUUUCGGUAUGUAAAGCCCUAUCAGCAGGGAAGAAAGAAGACGGUACCUGACUAAGAAGCCCCGGCUAACUACGUGCCAGCAGCCGCGGUAAUACGUAGGGGGCAAGCGUUAUCCGGAUUCACUGGGUGUAAAGGGAGCGUAGACGGCGACGCAAGUCUGAAGUGAAAUGCCAGUGCUCAACACUGGAACUGCUUUGGAAACUGUGUAGCUAGAGUGCAGGAGAGGUAAGUGGAAUUCCUAGUGUAGCGGUGAAAUGCGUAGA
This 619-nucleotide ribosomal RNA is filed under the name uncultured bacterium. Its description in RNAcentral is "bacterial SSU rRNA". It matches the Rfam family "Bacterial small subunit ribosomal RNA", at positions 67 to 694 of the family's 1533-position model. The record is from RNAcentral.